UUCUUUAGUGUUGAAAUUGGUAUGGAGACGUGGAUGGAGAUUUGAGUCUUAGGAAUUUGGGAAGAGCUCAAGUGAUUCAGAAUGAAAAGACCUUGGCACAGACCUGUUAAGGAAGCUCCAUAUAAGGUGAAGAAAACAACAUGCUCAGCCAUGUCCUUGCCUUCUGCACACGGUAGUGCAUUCACUGCCUGAGAAUUCAAGGCUAAAACAAAAAGAGGAGCUUUUGUUCCAACAGAUAAGUACUUACCUUUUUCAAAAAAUGCAUAAGCUGUCCUGGGUGUUUAGCAGUUAUUCACACAGCUUUCCAAAGACUCACAGCAUUUAAAAGCUAACUCUACAGAGAUUCAACAGCUUCUUCCAGAUCCCACCACAGUGGAAAAGAACUCCGGUGUCCUGGCUCCCUGUCCAGCUCUUCUCUCUCCCCUUCCAGCUGCCAGUUCAGCUUUAAGAAGUUCAUUCUCCACAUUCAGAUGCAGGCAAAUGCGUUUGACUUGAGCAUAUUGAUUUCAGGCAGGUGAGAGUGGAUGUAGCGAUUCAGC
RNAcentral lists this non-coding RNA (539 nucleotides) under Pan troglodytes (chimpanzee). Lineage: Eukaryota; Metazoa; Chordata; Mammalia; Primates; Hominidae. The record is from RNAcentral.